RNAcentral lists this ribosomal RNA (505 nucleotides) under uncultured bacterium. Its description in RNAcentral is "partial 16S ribosomal RNA". It matches the Rfam family "Bacterial small subunit ribosomal RNA", at positions 30 to 523 of the family's 1533-position model. The record is from RNAcentral.
AUUGAACGCUAACGGCGUGCUUAACACAUGCAAGUCGAGCGGCAGCAUGACUGUAGCAAUACAGUUGAUGGCGAGCGGCGGACGGGUGAGUAAUGCAUAGGAAUCUGCCUUGUAGUGGGGGAUAACCCGGGGAAACUCGGGCUAAUACCGCAUAAUCUCUACGGAGCAAAGUGGGGAUCGUAAGACCUCACGCUAAAAGAUGAGCCUAUGUUGGAGUAGCUAGUUGGUGAGGUAAUGGCUCACCAAGGCGACGAUCCAUAGCUGGUCUGAGAGGAUGAUCAGCCACACUGGGACUGAGACACGGCCCAGACUCCUACGGGAGGCAGCAGUGGGGAAUAUUGGACAAUGGGCGAAAGCCUGAUCCAGCAACGCCGUGUGUGUGAAGAAGGCCUUCGGGUUGUAAAGCACUUUUAGUUGGGAAGAAAAGCUCAUGGGUAAUAUCCAUGAGUGCUGACGUUACCAACAGAAAAAGCACUGGCUAACUCUGUGCCAGCAGCCGCGGUAA